GAGGAAUUGUGGCCCACUCUUCUUUAACACCUUGCUUGAGUUCAUUGAGGUAUGCUGGCAUUCGUUGAUGCGUAGCUCUCUUAAGGUACCACAACUUUACUUCAAUCGGGUUUAGGUCAGGACUCUCACUGGGCUAUUGCAACACCUUGAUUCUUUUCUUUUUCAGACAUUCUGUUGUAGAAUGGUGAGCUUGUGAUCAUUGUCCUGUUGCAUGACCCAGUUUUGGCCAAGCUUGAGCUGUCAAACAGAUGGCCUCACAUUUGACUCUAGAAUACUUUGGUAUACAGAGUUCAUGGUCGACUCAAUGACUGCAAGGUUCCCAGGUCCUAUGGCUGCAACACAAGCCCAAGUCAUCACCCAUCCACCACCAUGCUUGACAGUUGGUAUGAGGGGUUUGUUCUGAUUUGCUGUGUUUUGUUUUCAGCAAACGUGGUACUGUGCAUUAUGGCCAAACAUCUCCACUUUGGUCUUGUCUGUACCAGAAGUCUUAUGGUUUGUUCAGAUGCAACUUUGCAAAACUAAGCUGUACUGCCAUGUUCUUUUUCGAGAGAAGAUGCUUUCUCCUGGCAACCCUUCCAAACAAACCAUACUUGCUCAGUCAUUUUUUAUUUGUACUGUCAUGAAUGUUAACAUUUAGCAUGCUAACUGAGGCCUGUAGAGUCUGAGAUGUAAUUCUUGGAUCUGAAUUUACUGGGAAG
Molecule: non-coding RNA, 698 nt
Organism: Pelobates cultripes (western spadefoot toad)
Lineage: Eukaryota; Metazoa; Chordata; Amphibia; Anura; Pelobatidae
Source: the annotation of a GenBank genome assembly